GCUACUCAGAAAUUCUCCUCCCAACCAAGAUUUUGAGGGCAUCCUCUGUUUGUUAGCUCGGCUCUUCCCACCUCCACCCUGCUGAGCGGAUACGAAAAAGGGGUCAGCGCCCUGCCGAGCAGCGAAGGCCGAAUCGAGCUUCGCUGCUGAGCUCGGACGAGUCCGCCCCGAAAAGAGAGAGCCCGCGCUCCCGAAAAUAUCUCCGCGCGUCCCCGCUGAGAGGGUAGACCCCAACUCCCGUCACCCCCUGCCCCUUUCCCCACGAGCCCAGCAUCCAGGCCUCGUCCCCGAAAAAUCGCCCUCCGUCCGCCGCCAAGGUCGCCGCCUCCCCCGGCUCGCUCGCCUCCCCUGCCUCCCCCGGCUCGCUCGCCUCCCCCGCGUCCCCGGCUCGCUCGCCUCCCCUCCCUCCAGUCGCUCCUCUCCCGUUGCACAGGAGAACCAGAUCGAGCCCGGCAUGGAGAGGGCGAGGUCGACCUCCCCGCCCGUGUCUGGCGGUUGAACCGGCCUCCAUCUACUGGUUAUCCCUGCGACGGCCUUGAGGUCCUCCACUUCCGGCCGUCGUCAAACCUAGCAGCAGCACAUCUCAGGCCAGAACAAGAUCCGUCGAUCUGCACAUCUCCGACCUGAAAUUCUCCAACCUCAACGUUCCUGGCCGGAUCUGCACGUGCUCUCAAGAUGGAUGAUUUGGCAAGGAAGCGGCGCAAACUUAUCGUGCAAGCAGCCGGUAUCGCAGCUGUAUUGGGUGCAUACAUGAUCUUUAUCUCAAGGAGAGCUAGGAAACAAACUCCAUUGUUAACAAUAGGUCGUAGGAUUGAUAUGGAUGUUGCUAGGGAAUCAAAUCUGAGAUAUAUCUAUCAUUCUAGCGACACAAAUUGCUCAAACCAACUAAGAAUGAAAAGAGCUCCUUUUUUUCGUUUGUGCACUUUGUUUAGAGAGAGAGAGCUAUUGAAAGAUAGUAUUCAUACUUCUAUUGAGGAACAAGUAGCCAUGUUUCUCCUAGUAGUUGGCCACAACACAAGGUUUAGAGCUCUACAACCGACUUUUAGAAGAUCUAUUGAAGUAAUUAGUAGGUAUUUUAAAGCGGUGCUAUAUGCUGUUGGAGAGUUGCGAGCUGAGAUGAUCCGUCCUCCCUCCAAUCAUAUUCACCAUAAAAUUGAGGAAAACAGCCGCUUCAACCCUUACUUCAAGGUAAUCUAUUUUGAAACGUUAAAUAUGUUAACUUGAUAAGACCCAUGAAUAACCCAUUCUUGUAUUUUCCGAUUUAGGAUUGUAUUGGAGCAAUAGAUGGGACUCAUGUCAUGGCUAGAGUCCCAGCAAAUAUCUCAGCUGCCUUUAGGGGUAGAAAAGAUGGCACUACCCAAAAUGUAAUGGCAGCGGUAGACUUUGAUUUGAAGUUUACCUAUAUUCUUGCUGGUUGGGAGGGCUCAGCCCAUGAUGCCCUCAUACUUUCUGAUGCUGUGGAGAGGGAUGAUGGGUUGUCACUUCCUCCAGGAAAAUACUACCUUGUUGAUGCUGGUUAUGCCGUGAGACCGGGUUUCCUUCCACCGUACCGUAAAACAAGGUACCACCUAAAGGAGUAUGGUGGAGGAAAUCAUCCUGAAAAUUAUAAAGAGCUGUUCAACUUAAGACACUCUUCUCUAAGGAUAUCAAUUGAAAGGGCCUUCGCUGCAUACAAGAACCGUUGGAAGUUUGUUUACAAUAGACCAUUCCAUCCUUAUAAGACCCAAGUAAGAGUAGUUAUAGCUUGUGCCAUUCUCCAUAAUUGGGUACUUCAAUUUGGGGAGGAUGACUAUUUCCCACCUGAGGCAAC
This is a non-coding RNA of Lolium perenne, 1810 nucleotides long. The record is from RefSeq and is a predicted model, not a curated record. NCBI's taxonomy places the organism in Eukaryota, Viridiplantae, Streptophyta, Magnoliopsida, Poales, Poaceae.